GUGAUGUCAUCGAGUAGCCGCCUCGGAAGGAAGAGCUGGGAAGGUUGGGCGGUCUAAGAGUGCUGGCUAGGCACUUUAUUAGAGGGCAGUCAGGUCUUCAUGGUCUAGCGACAGGUCCGGAGAAGUGAGGGGAAAUGGAGCAUCUCCCUGGAAACGCUGGGAUCUUAGAAGGUUUCUGCAUACCCAGAUGUGGUUGCAGC
RNAcentral lists this long non-coding RNA (200 nucleotides) under Homo sapiens (human). Its description in RNAcentral is "HSALNT0313174". Lineage: Eukaryota; Metazoa; Chordata; Mammalia; Primates; Hominidae. The record is from RNAcentral.